ACGAAUCUAGCCGCAUCUUGGUCGGGUCUUCGGGUAUAGGCCAUUAAACGAAGUCGUUUUUUGGCCACUGCAGUAGGCCCUAAACAACGUCGUUUAAAGAGAGUUAUAAAACUAAAAAAAAACCUAAAACAGAAGUGUUUUAUCAGACUAAAACCAUCAAACAAAAAAACCUAAAUCUCUGCCUCUUUUUCUCACCGUUUUGAAACCCAAAAUCCCCCUUUCCACCCCGAUUCAAACGAAGUGAAGGAGGACUCCAACGGUUCGCUCACACAGGUAAGUCCCUUGCCUUCUUUUCUAUUUUUUUCACACGCAAUCAAUCAAAUAUAGAAAAGAAAAGCAGUAAAAAUAAAAAAAAC
This 356-nucleotide long non-coding RNA is filed under the name Gossypium raimondii (Peruvian cotton). Its description in RNAcentral is "long non-coding RNA (GRAI_LNC010679)". The record is from RNAcentral. Lineage: Eukaryota; Viridiplantae; Streptophyta; Magnoliopsida; Malvales; Malvaceae.